GCCGCAAUCCCCUUGAUCCUCUGGAGCUAGGGAGAGCUUCAAGGUUUUCCUCCUGAUCCCUCCCGUAUCCCCCUCAAGGCCAAGUACACGGAUGGGCCGUGGUGGCGCUAGACCGCAGUAAGGAACGCCUUCCCUUCCGGACUCCUCGAGAACACGCGCACACCCCUGACUGCGGCUGCAAAACGUGAUGUAGCGUUCCGAGGGCCUGGGGCGGCUCGGUUGCGGCCACUUCUCAAAGAGAUUUAAAUGGAUCCCCCCCCACCUCCCCGCCCAGACUAACGACCUGCGCCUGGGGAUGUCCCUGCCUGUUACUUCUGUCCGCCUUAGCACCAUCUGGACCGCGGGGUCUCCUGCCCAGGCCUCACUUCCAGCCGGGUUGUCCACAAGCGCAGAAAGAGCAGACAUUGUUCACGCAGGGGAGGGGGCCCGGGGACCUGGAGACAGAGCCUUGGCCGACAAGCCGCCGGGUCCCCCAGAGGGCCGCCCCGAGGGAAGUCUCAGGGACCAGGACCCAGGAGCCAUCUGACCCAGACCCGGCGCCCUCUCGGGGAGCUGGCCACUCUGCUGGUUUCAACCGUGAAGUUUAGAAAUAAAAGUGCGCUAGAUGGCCUUGCUUGGACUUUGAAGGAGCCACAGCAAACUUAAGUGGCCGCAAGGUACCUGAGCAUCGCCUGUGUGUGUCCCACACACCCUCCUGUCCCCGUGUGCCUCUGAGAUGGCUCCCAGAGGGCAGAACCAUCCAUCAAAGCCGGGCAGGCCUCCAGCUCAGAAGAACCUUAGGCAAUUACAGCCCAAUAAUAGUAUGGAGGGACCAGGAGACUCUCUGAAAAGGAGCAAUCAGACUGAAGAGCCAGGGCGGAAGAAGAAGGUGCGAGUCCAGCAUCCCUGACCAUGCGGAGCCCAUCACGGCGUUUGUAAAUGGCAGUGAUGAAUGAGCAUGCUGUGCAUAUAUGUCACCACGCCCGGCCUUCUCCCCUCCUUCCCCUCACGUUCUCUCUCCAGGAUAAAAGAUGCUUGGCGCUAAAGAACCCUUGUCUCUUCUAUUCAGAACUGGGGGAAACUGACAAACUCCAUUCUAGUUCAUGAGACCCUGCGGUGAAUUAUGGG
This is a long non-coding RNA of Panthera uncia (snow leopard), 1107 nucleotides long. RefSeq lists it as uncharacterized. The record is from RefSeq and is a predicted model, not a curated record. The transcript has 3 exons. Lineage: Eukaryota; Metazoa; Chordata; Mammalia; Carnivora; Felidae.